CUGGAGUUAGAGUGCCUGCCUGUGGGGUUCAGCAGGAGCCUACAGGUGGUCUGAUGAACAGAAGUGCCUCAUUUGAAGUUCUUAGAAAGCCAUUGCCACUGAGUUAAUGCUUAGGAAAAUUGGAGCUCCGUGUGAGCUGCUAUCCUCGCAGCACGGCUCCUCACCCAGCGCAGCCGGCAGCCAUUGGAGCUCUGCUCAUCUUACGUUUGCAGUCUGAAGAGAAAUGAAAGCCCUUCUCCUUAUCUCGUGCAUCUGCGCUGCAGCAUGAGCUGCUUUCCUUGGGGGGUAAAUUCUGCUCUUCUAAAAAUUAUCGCCUCUGAUAGUUUGCAAACCUCUGCUGGAUGGGGUGGAUGGCUGAGGGGAAGGGGUGGCCCUCCAAAGGCACUGCCCCCUCCCACUGCUGACCCUCAGUGUCCCCCUGGCCCUGCUCUCACUGUACCUCCCAACCUGACUCAUGCUAACAGCAGGGAGAGCAAAGUGUCUGGCUGAGUGCCUUGAGUGUUGGAGAAAGGAGUUCCAGACCUCGUCCACUUCUGUAUUUUUCCUAUAAAUGCCCUACUUGCAGAAGCACUGAAUCUCUUCGUAUCCUAGACUCACAAUAUCCAUUAUUUCUUAAAGAAAUGAAUGAUUUCCCUGUAUAAAAUUUACUCUCUUCCCUCCCAGCAUCGUUUGAUUUUCUU
Gallus gallus (chicken) is the source of this 680-nucleotide long non-coding RNA. NCBI's taxonomy places the organism in Eukaryota, Metazoa, Chordata, Aves, Galliformes, Phasianidae. The record is from Ensembl.